UGGGGAAUAUUGGACAAUGGGCGCAAGCCUGAUCCAGCCAUGCCGCGUGUGUGAAGAAGGCCUUUUGGUUGUAAAGCACUUUAAGCGAGGAGGAGGCUACUUGGAUUAAUACUCUAGUAUAGUGGACGUUACUCGCAGAAUAAGCACCGGCUAACUCUGUGCCAGCAGCCGCGGUAAUACAGAGGGUGCGAGCGUUAAUCGGAUUUACUGGGCGUAAAGCGUGCGUAGGCGGCUUCUUAAGUCGGAUGUGAAAUCCCUGAGCUGAACGUAGGAAGUGCACUCGAUACGGGGAAGCUAGAGUAUGGGAGAGGAUGGUAGAAUUCCAGGUGUAGCGGUGAAAUGCGUAGAGAUCUGGAGGAAUACCGAAGGCAAAGGCAGCGAUCUGGCCUAAUACUGACGCUGAGGUACGAAAGCAAGGGGAGCAAACAGG
Molecule: ribosomal RNA, 430 nt
Filed under: bacterium
Lineage: Bacteria
Description: partial 16S ribosomal RNA
Rfam family: Bacterial small subunit ribosomal RNA
Source: RNAcentral